UGAUCGAUUGGAAACAACCGACCCGUGACACUUUCAUAUUAAUCUUGCCUCUGUUUAACGUCUUCAAAAUUUUGGGUAUAGGCAUAUUCCUACAAAGAUUGCUCAUGACAUUAGGAGGAUAGGCAAAGAAGUCGACCAAUCUGUUCUGAAGCUGACGGACGAUGAUUACAAUGCCGAGAAGCCGAGCUUCUUACAGGCCUUAGUCAACAAUUUUGGCCCUGGAUGGAGUGCCAUUGUAGACGAUUGCAAGGCUAUAUUCUUCGCCGGACAUGAAACAACUGCCAGUGGCGCUACCUUUGCUUUAGUACUUUUAGCACACCAUCCUGAGUGGCAGGAGCGCGUGCGUGCCAAGGUGGUAGAGAUCCUUGGAAAUCAAGCCCCGAAUAUGGAUAAGCUGCACAAAAUGAAAUUGUUAAAUAUGGUGAAUUACGAAAUAUUGCGCCUAUAUUCUCCUGGACCGUUCUUGACAAGAGAAACGUCAGAGGAAAUGAAGUUUGGGGAGUUUGCAAUUCCGAAAGGUGUCAACAUCUGGAUCCCAAUCUCGCUGUUGCAUUAGGAUCCGGCCAACUGGGGCAACAAUGCCCACGAGUUCCAUCCAGAAAGGUUUGCAAAUGGCAUUUCUUCAGCAUGCAAGCUUCCGAAUCUGUUCAUGCCUUUUGGGACAGGGAUACAGAAUUGUGUUGGCUAGAACUUAGCGAUGAAGAACUGAAGAUAGUUCUGUCUCUUCUUCUAUCUAAGUUCACUUUCUCUUUAUCCUCGGAAUACAUACACUUGCUGAGUUAUAAGCUGUUUUUUAAGCCUGAACACGGGGUCCAACUGAAGAUGGAGAAGAUAUGAAAUUGUCCAUCUUGUGUUUUGAGUGUUUGGUCUGUUGCAUUGGAAGCUGUACCACGAAAAAGCAUAGUCAAUAUAAUUGUAGCAUCAUGUCCUCUUGUGGGUGGUCAGUAGGGCUUAAUUCUGUGUAAAAGCUAAGCUUAGUGUGCUCUUGGCUUACAGGGCAUAUCAAUAAAUUUGAUUGGCAGCUGUUCGUUGAA
Molecule: long non-coding RNA, 1034 nt
Organism: Eucalyptus grandis
Lineage: Eukaryota; Viridiplantae; Streptophyta; Magnoliopsida; Myrtales; Myrtaceae
Exons: 2
Source: RefSeq, a predicted model, not a curated record